Molecule: ribosomal RNA, 819 nt
Filed under: Yarrowia sp.
Lineage: Eukaryota; Fungi; Ascomycota; Dipodascomycetes; Dipodascales
Also listed under: 1 other name
Description: LSU rRNA
Rfam family: Eukaryotic large subunit ribosomal RNA
Source: RNAcentral
CAUAUCAAUAAGCGGAGGAAAAGAAACCAACAGGGAUUGCCUCAGUAACGGCGAGUGAAGCGGCAAAAGCUCAAAUUUGAAACCUUCGGGAUUGUAAUUUGAAGAUUUGGCAUUGGAAAAAGCCACCCCAAGUUGCUUGGAAUAGUACGUCAUAGAGGGUGACAACCCCGUCUGGCUAACCGUUUUCCAUUGUAUUGCCUUAUCAAAGAGUCGAGUUGUUUGGGAAUGCAGCUCAAAGUGGGUGGUAAACUCCAUCUAAAGCUAAAUACUGGUGAGAGGCCGAUAGCGAACAAGUACUGUGAAGGAAAGGUGAAAAGAACUUUGAAAAGAGAGUGAAAUAGUAUGUGAAAUUGUUGAUAGGGAAGGAAAUGAGUGGAGAGUGGACGAGGUUUCAGUGCCCCCUCGGGGGUACGUACUGCCAACUCCGAGUCAACGUCAGCGAGACGGGGUGUAUAAACGGGUGUCUUCGGACUCUCACCUACUCCCCCCCGCUGCCGUCGUCGACAUAAUCCACCCAUUUCACCCGUCUUGAAACACGGACCAAGGAGUCUAAUGGAUAUGUGAGUGUUAGGGUGGCAAACCCCAGCGCGCAAUGAAAGUGAAUGAUUCGUUCAGAAUCGACCGAACUUGAUUUUUAUGACAGUUUUGAGUAAACACAUCCAUUGGGACCCGAAAGAUGGUGAACUAUGCCUGAAUAGGGUGAAGUCAGAGGAAAACUCUGAUGGAGGCUCGUAGCGGUUCUGACGUGCAAAAUCGAUCGUAGAACUUGGGGUAUAGGGGCGAAAGACUAAUCGAACCAUCUAGUAGCUGGGUUCCUGC